CAGUCGCCACGGUAAUACAGAGGCCUCAAGCGUUGUUCGGAUUCAUUGGGCGUAAAGGGAGCGUAGGCGGUCGGGUAAGUCGGAUGUGAAAUCUUGGGGCUCAACCUCAAAACUGCAUUCGAUACUGCUUGGCUAGAGGAAUGGAGGGGAGAUUGGAAUUCACGGUGUAGCAGUGAAAUGCGUAGAUAUCGUGAGGAAGACCAGUGGCGAAGGCGGAUCUCUGGACAUUUCCUGACGCUGAUGCUCGAAGGCCAGGGGAGCAAACGGGAUUAGAUACCCGGGUAGUCCCUGUCUCUUAUAC
Molecule: ribosomal RNA, 301 nt
Filed under: uncultured bacterium
Lineage: Bacteria
Description: partial 16S ribosomal RNA
Rfam family: Bacterial small subunit ribosomal RNA
Source: RNAcentral